CAGAGAGUAGUUUAAAAAAAAUAUUAAUUUUGGGGAUUAAAGAUAAAGGUAUUUUUCUCUGA
RNAcentral lists this transfer RNA (62 nucleotides) under Lophopotamon yenyuanense. RNAcentral's name for it is "tRNA-Pro". The record is from RNAcentral. Lineage: Eukaryota; Metazoa; Arthropoda; Malacostraca; Decapoda; Potamidae.